GGUAAAGCCUGGGAAACUGGGGUCUAAUACUGGAUAUGCACCGUGAACCGCAUGGUUUUGGUGGAAAGAUUAUUGGUCAAGGAUGGACUCGCGGCCUAUCAGCUUGUUGGUGAGGUAAUGGCUCACCAAGGCGACGACGGGUAGCCGGCCUGAGAGGGUGACCGGCCACACUGGGACUGAGACACGGCCCAGACUCCUACGGGAGGCAGCAGUGGGGAAUAUUGCACAAUGGGCGAAAGCCUGAUGCAGCGACGCCGCGUGAGGGAUGACGGCCUUCGGGUUGUAAACCUCUUUCAGUAGGGAAGAAGCGAAAGUGACGGUACCUGCAGAAGAAGCGCCGGCUAACUACGUGCCAGCAGCCGCGGUAAUACGUAGGGCGCAAGCGUUAUCCGAAAUUAUUGGGCGUAGAGAGCUCGUAGGCGGUUUGUCGCGUCUAUCGUUAAAGUCCGAGGCUCAACUUCGGAUCUGCGGUGGGUACGGGCAGACUAGAGUGAUGUAGGGGAGACUGGAAUUCCUGGUGUAGCGGUGAAAUGCGCAG
Molecule: ribosomal RNA, 538 nt
Filed under: uncultured Arthrobacter sp.
Lineage: Bacteria; Bacillati; Actinomycetota; Actinomycetes; Micrococcales; Micrococcaceae
Description: bacterial SSU rRNA
Rfam family: Bacterial small subunit ribosomal RNA
Source: RNAcentral